UACGAAGGGGGCGAGCGUUGUUCGGAUUUACUGGGCGUAAAGGGCGCGCAGGCGGUUCUGUUUGUCGAGUGUGAAAGCCCCGGGCUCAACCUGGGAACUGCGCUCGAAACGGCGGAACUAGAGUUCGGGAGAGGAGAGUGGAAUUCCCAGUGUAGAGGUGAAAUUCGUAGAUAUUGGGAGGAACACCAGUGGCGAAGGCGGCUCACUGGACCGGUACUGACGCUGAUGCGCGAAAGCGUGGGGAGCAAACGGG
RNAcentral lists this ribosomal RNA (253 nucleotides) under uncultured bacterium. RNAcentral describes it as "partial 16S ribosomal RNA". It matches the Rfam family "Bacterial small subunit ribosomal RNA", at positions 524 to 776 of the family's 1533-position model. The record is from RNAcentral.